GACGAACCGUGCGAACGUUGUUCGGAUUCACUGGGCUUAAAGGGCGCGUAGGCGGGCCAGCGAGUCGGGGGUGAAAUCCCACGGCCCAACCGUGGAAGAGCUUUCGAUACUGCUGGCCUUGAGGGAGGUAGGGGCGUGUGGAACUUCCGGUGGAGCGGUGAAAUGCGUAGAGAUCAGGAAGAACACCGGUGGCGAAAGCGCUCUGCUAGGCCGCAACUGACACUGAGGGACGAAAGCUAGGGGAGCGAAUGGG
Molecule: ribosomal RNA, 253 nt
Filed under: uncultured bacterium
Lineage: Bacteria
Description: partial 16S ribosomal RNA
Rfam family: Bacterial small subunit ribosomal RNA
Source: RNAcentral